GAGACACCCUUCUGGGGCAGGACUUGCUUCAGUGGGGCUUUGACACUCACUGAGUCUGCCCCUUGAGUGUGUCCCU
RNAcentral lists this microRNA precursor (76 nucleotides) under Myotis davidii. RNAcentral describes it as "mir-9229 microRNA precursor family". It matches the Rfam family "mir-9229 microRNA precursor family". Lineage: Eukaryota; Metazoa; Chordata; Mammalia; Chiroptera; Vespertilionidae. The record is from Rfam by way of RNAcentral.